UGACGGCCGAGGCCCGGUCCGCGCUCGCGACGUCGCCGGUCGUCGAGGUGCCGACGGAGGUCGCCGCCUGGACGUUCGAGGCGCCGGCCAUCACC
Molecule: transfer RNA, 95 nt
Filed under: Actinotalea fermentans
Lineage: Bacteria; Bacillati; Actinomycetota; Actinomycetes; Micrococcales; Cellulomonadaceae
Description: tRNA-Ala
Source: RNAcentral